UAAUACGGAGGGUGCAAGCGUUGUUCGGAAUUAUUGGGCGUAAAGCGUGCGUAGGCGGACUGUUAAGUCUGAUGUGAAAUCCCUCGGCUCAACCGAGGACGUGCAUUGGAUACUGGCAGUCUUGAAUCCCGGAGAGGAGAGCGGAAUUCCUAGUGUAGAGGUGAAAUUCGUAGAUAUUAGGAGGAACACCAGUGGCGAAAGCGGCUCUCUGGACGGUGACUGACGCUGAGGCACGAAAGCAUAGGUAGCAAACAGGAUUAGAUACCCUGGUAGUCUAUGCCGUAAACGAUGGGUACUAGUUGGUGCGGGUAUUGACCCCUGCGCUGACGAAGCUAACGUAUUAAGUACCCCGCCUGGGGAGUACGGCCGCAAGGCUA
This 377-nucleotide ribosomal RNA is filed under the name uncultured delta proteobacterium. RNAcentral's name for it is "bacterial SSU rRNA". It matches the Rfam family "Bacterial small subunit ribosomal RNA", at positions 521 to 896 of the family's 1533-position model. The record is from RNAcentral. Lineage: Bacteria; Deltaproteobacteria.